Molecule: ribosomal RNA, 200 nt
Filed under: uncultured bacterium
Lineage: Bacteria
Description: partial 16S ribosomal RNA
Rfam family: Bacterial small subunit ribosomal RNA
Source: RNAcentral
UACGAAGGUCCCAAGCGUUGUUCGGAAUAACUGGGCGUAAAGCGUGUGUAGGCUGCGCGGAAAGUCAAAUGUGAAAGCCCAGGGCUUAACCCUGGAACUGCAUUCGAUACUCCCGUGCUAGAGUAAUGGAGAGGUAAGUGGAAUUCCUGGUGUAGCAGUGAAAUGCGUAGAUAUUCAUGGGAACGCCAAUGGCGAAGGCA